UGAACAUGCCGGACUCAUUCAACAGGAAAUGACAUCAGAGGCCCCCUGCAGAUCAUCAUGACUUAUUCAAGGAGAGCUUGCCGUGGAACUGGGAUCGGUUCAGGGCUCAAAACUGUGCUGACGGGAUGAGUCUGCGAUGGUCCCGGUGAGGAAACAUGAAGGCUGCGAACCAUCUUGGCCAACCUCUCCAACGACAAGAAAAUCAUGCGCUUCUGAUCAGAGGGAACCUGACCAGUCAUUUUCCCGGUAAUGGCUUAGGUGUGAUGUGUGGUGACAUUGCUGCACAAGGCUGUUGACACAGUAAGCAUCUCCUGGGCUCCUGGGGUACAGAUGUCCUUAGGCCUGAUAAUUUACUGCCACACAUGCCAGCAAAUGCUCGUACAGAUAUGGAAUAUUCCCACUGCUAGCAUAACCGGAUCCAAGUUAUAUUUUAUUAAUGGCCAAGUAUAACUAGUUCACUUUGCUACAUUGUUAUUAAUGGGUGAUAGA
Pimephales promelas (fathead minnow) is the source of this 489-nucleotide non-coding RNA. The record is from RefSeq and is a predicted model, not a curated record. NCBI's taxonomy places the organism in Eukaryota, Metazoa, Chordata, Actinopteri, Cypriniformes, Leuciscidae.